RNAcentral lists this ribosomal RNA (1346 nucleotides) under uncultured bacterium. Its description in RNAcentral is "partial 16S ribosomal RNA". It matches the Rfam family "Bacterial small subunit ribosomal RNA", at positions 28 to 1381 of the family's 1533-position model. The record is from RNAcentral.
GACGAACGCUUGCGGCGUGCUUAACACAUGCAAGUCGAACGGAAAGGCCCUGCUUUUGUGGGGUGCUCGAGUGGCGAACGGGUGAGUAACACGUGAGUAACCUGCCCUUGACUUUGGGAUAACUUCAGGAAACUGGGGCUAAUACCGGAUAGGAGCUCCUGCUGCAUGGUGGGGGUUGGAAAGUUUCGGCGGUUGGGGAUGGACUCGCGGCUUAUCAGCUUGUUGGUGGGGUAGUGGCUUACCAAGGCUUUGACGGGUAGCCGGCCUGAGAGGGUGACCGGCCACAUUGGGACUGAGAUACGGCCCAGACUCCUACGGGAGGCAGCAGUGGGGAAUAUUGCACAAUGGGCGGAAGCCUGAUGCAGCAACGCCGCGUGCGGGAUGACGGCUUUCGGGUUGUAAACCGCUUUCGCCUGUGACGAAGCGUGAGUGACGGUAAUGGGUAAAGAAGCACCGGCUAACUACGUGCCAGCAGCCGCGGUGAUACGUAGGGUGCGAGCGUUGUCCGGAUUUAUUGGGCGUAAAGGGCUCGUAGGUGGUUGAUCGCGUCGGAAGUGUAAUCUUGGGGCUUAACCCUGAGCGUGCUUUCGAUACGGGUUGACUUGAGGAAGGUAGGGGAGAAUGGAAUUCCUGGUGGAGCGGUGGAAUGCGCAGAUAUCAGGAGGAACACCAGUGGCGAAGGCGGUUCUCUGGGCCUUUCCUGACGCUGAGGAGCGAAAGCGUGGGGAGCGAACAGGCUUAGAUACCCUGGUAGUCCAUGCUGUAAACGGUGGGUACUAGGUGUGGGGUCCAUUCCACGGGUUCCGUGCCGUAGCUAACGCUUUAAGUACCCCGCCUGGGGAGUACGGCCGCAAGGCUAAAACUCAAAGGAAUUGACGGGGCCCCGCACAAGCGGCGGAGCAUGCGGAUUAAUUCGAUGCAACGCGUAGAACCUUACCUGGGUUUGACAUGGAUCGGGAGUGCUCAGAGAUGGGUGUGCCUCUUUUGGGGUCGGUUCACAGGUGGUGCAUGGCUGUCGUCAGCUCGUGUCGUGAGAUGUUGGGUUAAGUCCCGCAACGAGCGCAACCCUUGUUCACUGUUGCCAGCACGUUAUGGUGGGGACUCAGUGGAGACCGCCGGGGUCAACUCGGAGGAAGGUGGGGAUGACGUCAAGUCAUCAUGCCCCUUAUGUCCAGGGCUUCACGCAUGCUACAAUGGCUGGUACAGAGAGUGGCGAGCCUGUGAGGGUGAGCGAAUCUCGGAAAGCCGGUCUCAGUUCGGAUUGGGGUCUGCAACUCGACCUCAUGAAGUCGGAGUCGCUAGUAAUCGCAGAUCAGCAACGCUGCGGUGAAUACGUUCCCGGGGCU